This 384-nucleotide unclassified non-coding RNA is filed under the name Hevea brasiliensis (rubber tree). Lineage: Eukaryota; Viridiplantae; Streptophyta; Magnoliopsida; Malpighiales; Euphorbiaceae. The record is from RNAcentral.
CUCCCACCAGUCGGUUCAAUGCUCGUCAUGCCUUCUCCCGUCUCGGGGUCCCAAACCCUAACAAUGUGGCUGUCAGCAGUUAUUAACUUUGUUCGUUCAGUGUUGAGCGUUUUAUGCCACUUAAUGUUUAAUAUUGGGCUCCCAUACAUAUGAUCCUUUAUCCGCAUAGGUUGAGAAGAACGCAAAUCAUAAACCAGAACCUUUCCGUCACUACUUCCAACAGCCAUGAGGUAACCUCCAUCUCCCUCGAACUCUAUUGCAGUAACCUCCUGGUCCCCACCCCCAGCAGGUGCAACAGCAUUUAUCCUACCAACUGAAGAUCUUACUCUCAUAUCAAAGCAUUCGAGCGCACCGUCCUCCCCUCCACAAGCAACUAGCCCAUGG